Long non-coding RNA from Dromiciops gliroides (monito del monte), 1049 nucleotides. RefSeq lists it as uncharacterized. Lineage: Eukaryota; Metazoa; Chordata; Mammalia; Microbiotheria; Microbiotheriidae. The record is from RefSeq and is a predicted model, not a curated record. The transcript is spliced from 6 exons.
ACAAGAGAAGAAAAAGUCUCUUUUGUGGCGUUGGAGAUGCCAGGGUUAGGGAUUGGGGGUGGAGGUUGAUUCAAGGGAUUUGGGGUGACGGACAACUGUCCGUAGGCGGCCUUUAUUGGCAGGGUACGGUCCUGGCGUGCCGUGCGGCCUAAAGCCGGCGUCCAUGCGGGCUCCCGCAAUGCAUUGUAGGAGGCUGGGGAGGAGCGUUCUCGACCGCGUGGAUACUGAAAGCAAGCUUUCAGUCGCUUUGGCGGGACCACAUUUAAGUCCCGGGAUUUGGACGCGGAUGGGAGAGGAAACAGCGGACUCCUGAAAGUGCUAACCAUCGUGUCCCUCCCUAGCUCCCCAAUUUUGGUCGUAUUAAAGCUGUAUGUUGGCUUUUGGAAAGAAGGUCGUAGGGAAAAUGGCGAAUGCCUUGCCUAGUUCCGCCACCGCUACCACCACCCACAACCCACCCCCGCCGCGCGCACUUGUGUCAGAUGCUAACUGAUCCCUGGGAGGCCACACGGAGGAUGCGUGGUUCAUAGGCCGAAAGCUUAAACAAACAUCUAAGCUCCCCUAGAGUGCCCACGUGAUUUCUUUGUGCUGACGGUGCACAAUGAAUAAUGGCAAGAGCUCUCCGUGAUUUUUCAGGACUGUCUUACGGGAACACUCAGACGCAAAUGAAAACAUUAAGCUGUCCGGACGGGUAUUUGUUUAGCAGUUAUGAGUCCAUAAAUACUUGAAUGAAACAAGACAAGUGUCUGUUGAAUAAUGUGAUAUGAUCUAAGCUCAAGAUCUUGUUAACUGUGACCGAUUGGCUUCAGUUUGAGCCACAUUGAUGAAUUUCAAGAAUGAGGAGCUCCUAAUUUCAGUAUACCCAAAGGGUAUUUUGUGGAAUCAUUGCAUCUGCAUCAUGAGACAAAUGUGUGGAUGGUAACUGGAAAAGAACUAAGAAAUCUGAAAUGACGCCUUUUCUGAUUCUGGAAAUGCCAAGACAUAAAAUCUUAAUUUAGAAAAACUUUGUAUUAUUUGAAAUUCAUGGAGAAUUUAUAAAUUUUUGAAAUGUU